RNAcentral lists this non-coding RNA (121 nucleotides) under Dipodomys ordii (Ord's kangaroo rat). RNAcentral describes it as "Small nucleolar RNA U13". The stretch from base 33 to 121 matches the Rfam family "Small nucleolar RNA U13", at positions 16 to 104 of the family's 104-position model. The record is from Rfam by way of RNAcentral. Lineage: Eukaryota; Metazoa; Chordata; Mammalia; Rodentia; Heteromyidae.
AUUUUUUUUUUAAGACAAAACAUAAAAAUAAAAUGAGCAUGAUGAUUGGGUUCUCACGCGCUUGCGUGACAUGUGCCUCCUCUAAACCUUGUUACAACAUGGGCAUAUUACCCAUCUGAUG